Long non-coding RNA from Zonotrichia leucophrys gambelii, 1852 nucleotides. RefSeq lists it as uncharacterized. The transcript has 4 exons. The record is from RefSeq and is a predicted model, not a curated record. Lineage: Eukaryota; Metazoa; Chordata; Aves; Passeriformes; Passerellidae.
CGGGCGCUGACGCGCGGCGGCGGCUGCGAGGGGGCGCGGCGGCCCCGGCACCGGGAUCCGCUCCCGGCUCCCGGGCUCGGUUCCGGGCUCGGUUCCGGCUCCGCUCCGCGCCAGCGGCCGAGGCAGCCGCAGCCCGGCCGGCACACGCAGCGCUCCCGCGGCAGCGGAGCCGGACACCCAGCACCGGGAGCAUCUCUGCGUUCGGACCCUGGCAGGAGCUGCGAGUGGCCGGCAGCGACACGGGGACAGCGCGGCUCCCACGGGACCGUCACGGGCUGGCAAGGACUCCGUGGAAAUGGGCAUUGCUGCCAUAAACACCUCGUGUCGGCGGACACCGCCUGCGCGGCUGAGCUUCAGGAGCGCACCGGGAGCGGGAGCAAAGGGACAAUAACGCUCCAUUGAAGUUUCUGGGAUAUCUGAGGGGGAUAACGGAGUGCUUGUGAGAUGAUGGCCCGUUCACACCCCAGCCUGGCAAUGAGACCCCCCCGCUCCGACUCACAUCGGACAUGCAGCUUCGUGCGUGCCUUCAGCCUCCCACGGACAUCAGGGCUGUGUCAGAGCUGCCGUGUGCCCCAUGGGCUGUGGAACACGAGUGUGAGCUCGGGACCGAGUGCCCCGGGCUGGGGCUGCGGGGAGGGGAGCUGGGAGCUGCUGCAGCCCUGGGACACCGACCUCGAACAGGGGCUGGCACUGCCCGGGGGCCAACACCAGCUCCAGGCUGUGCCUCGCUCUCCGUUUGGGGACCUCACACCCGUGUGACACUGGACAGAAGGACACUCAGCCCCUUUCCCCUCUGAAGGCUCACUGGAGGGGCAGCACUCUGGAUCUGGGUGAUGGCAGCGGCACAGCUGUCCCUGUGCAGUGUGUCCCUGCUGGGGGGCUGGCAGUGCCCCCUGCACCCCUGGGCACAGGCAGGGCACCCAGCCCCUGAUACACAAAUGUCCUUUUGUAUUAGAUCCUCUUUGUUGGUCUGAAACUUUGGUCUGUUGGAGAGGCAGCAAAUCCCUUCCCUGCCAAAGUCUGUGCUGAAACACACAGCAGGUUAGACAGGGUGUGAGCAGUGGAAGUGUGGCCGUGUAGGGAAGGGCCUGAUGCAGGGGCUGCACUGGUGCUGCAGGGGCUGCACUGGUGCUGCAAGAUCUGCACUGGUGCUGCAGGAGUGUCACUAUAGGACAUGAAAGAACACAAGCGCACACCGCUGUUCUCAAGGUGAAGGAAAAAGGGAAGUUUAUUUUCUGACUCUAACAUUUAUAGAUUUCCAAAAGUGGCAGUGGAUUGGAGGGUGACAGUGCCACCUCUCCAAUGACACUGGGCAAACCAACAGUCCAUCAACUCUCUCCUCCGCCAUAAAAGAAUGCAAAACAAUGAGUUAUUUACAGAAAGUGUGUGAGAAAGUUCACUACAAGAAUGUCAACAUCAAAAGGCUCAGAAAAUCCUAAAACCCAGGGUGACACAGGAGCUGCUCUGGGGCUGCAGGAGCCUCCUGAGGAUGCCCCACAAGCUCAGCCCUGCCGUGCCCACCGAGCCCUGUUGUUGGCUAAGGGCUCUGUACAAAUCACAAACAGGACAGGACUGCUGGGAAUGUGCCUUGAGCUGUUUGAUUUUCCAGCAUCAGCCUCAUUCCAUGGUGAUGAAAAUGGGAGGAUGUCAUCAGCUGACAUCCCAGGCAGCAGAUAAAACUCCAUUAUUAACCCUAGAACUUGGAUAUGGUAAUUAGAUGUAUCACCGAGGGCCCUGGCUGGAGGUUGGUGUGGGCUGGACCGGCUGUUGGGGUGUCACUGAUGGAGAGGUGCUGCAGGCCAGAACACAGCGGUGGGACAUGCAGGGUGGAGAGCAGAGCCCAGCAAGGACA